UACGUAGGAGACAAACGUUAUCCGGAGUUACUGGGCGUAAAGGGCGCGUAGGCGGUCAGCACAAGUCAGUUGUGAAAUCUCCGAGCUUAACUCGGAAAGGUCAACUGAUACUGUGCGACUAGAGUGCGGAAGGGGCAACUGGAAUUCUUGGUGUAGCGGUGAAAUGCGUAGAUAUCAAGAGGAACACCUGCGGCGAAGGCGGGUUGCUGGGCUGACACUGACGCUGAAGCGCGAAAGCCAGGGGAGCGAACGGG
RNAcentral lists this ribosomal RNA (254 nucleotides) under uncultured bacterium. RNAcentral describes it as "partial 16S ribosomal RNA". It matches the Rfam family "Bacterial small subunit ribosomal RNA", at positions 524 to 776 of the family's 1533-position model. The record is from RNAcentral.